CAGCACGCUCUACAACAGCUGACCACAAUAAAACAUCAGCAUCAGAGUCAAGUAAAUAAGUUCCUCCUUCACAGGUGUUUUCUUUAAACUGGCCAAGCCACAACCCCCACAGGAGAACCUACAGAAUAAGGCCCAUGGACCCUACUUAAAGGCAGAGUCCCACAGCCCCGCCCUCUCUUGCUGGCUCUCUACCGCCUCCAGACUUCCUAUCCACCUCCACUGGGCGCCACUAACCUCUCUGGGUCUAUCAGUGAACUGUUUCUUGGAGUAGAAGAGUACCAGAAAAUAUCUAGCAAGGCAAUGUAAAAGACACUACUUGUACUUUAAAAAAGACAAUCAGAGAAUAGACAGGAUUUUGAAAAAGCAAGCUGACAUAAAUCCUAUAAUCACAAGGAAAUGAGUUUUACCAACAACCAGAGAAAGCUUGGAAGCAGAUUCUUUCUACGUAGAGCCUCCAGAUGAGAACCAGCUAAGUCAUGCCUGGACUUCUGACCCACAGAAACUGAGGAUAAUAAAUGUUUUAAGCCACCAAGUUUGCGAUAAUUUGUUACAAAGCAUAGAAAGCUAACACAGAUGACUUGAAUUCUAAAUUCCAUGUAAAAUUUUAUAACUUUUCUCUUUAUGUAUUCAGAUAAACAAUAUUCCUUACACACAUUUGAAAACAUAUCAAUAUAAGACAGCUAAAUAUUUUUUAAAGUUACAACGUAAUACAAAUAGAAGAUAUAUAAGAAAGCAAAAUCAAAUUAUGUUUUCCUUUCAGAAUUAUAAAACCCCCACCUAGCAAUGCUAGGCUCCUGACAUAAAUUACUGAAAAAUAGUCAGUAAUGAAUUUUAAAGCCAAAACAGAAAGUCUUAGUCCCUUUCUACCAAAAAGGUAUUUAACACAUCUUAAAACAAAAAUCGAGUAACCCGGGGAGGAUAAAAUAAAUUUGUGUCACACCAAAGGAAGAUGUAAAAAUUGUUUGGUUUGCAGAAAAAUCAUUCAAAAUCAUUUCAAUCCUUGGCUCAUAAAUAAUGCAAACUUAAUGAGAUAUUCUAUCCUAACAUGUAUAGAUGAAGUUCUUAAUUAUUUCAAAGGGGAUUGUGCCUACAUACCUGAAAUUUAAACUUUCCCUGUAGAAAACAAUAAAAACAUACACUUCUUUAUAGAUAUAUUUAGAAUGUGUUAUCCCCAACUAAUAUUUUCUAAACUACACACAUACUUAAACACUGAAUUUAAGAUAUAAACUGAGAUCCUUACCAAUUUUGAAUGGAGUUUAAUCACAUCAACCCACAUAAAAGUCUCACAUGAACACAUAUUUUUAUGUGACAUAUUUUUCUUCAAAUAAAUAUUGCUUCUCAGACUUUUUAGCAACUGUGGCAAAAACACUCAUUGUGAAUUUAUUUUUCUUACAGCUUGUAUAUGUUUUCUUUAUCUUGAAUUGUCUGCCCAAGUAGAUGAGAGAUUUGAAAAAUUCUGUCGACAGUGGUAACAGAGUCAGAGGUCAAAAGUUUCCAAGCAUGAACUAAACCUAAACAGCAAGAAAAAUAUCAAAAUGUAUGCAAAAAUACACAGAAAGGUUAUUGAUCUUCUAAAAUCAUACCAGAUUUUAGAAGAAAUACCAGAAAAUAGCCUUAAGGAAAUAAACCUUGUGUUUGUCUAAUAAAACCCAUCAAGAAGUAUGUAAUAAUUACAUCAACCCUCUUGAAAUUUUUUUAAAAAGGCCAAGUCUAUAGAAUGAAUAGUAUCAGGCCAAGAAAAAAAAUUCAGGCCCUGUUUCCAAGGACAAUAAUAGUGGAACAGACAGAUAGUGGCCAGUCUAGCCUGGGGAAUGCAAACCAACCAAGUAAAAAAUUUGACAACUCAGUUUUUUAUAAAAUUAAACCAAUGCUGUGUAUAAAAGUAUCCAGAAUGAAAUGAAGAACUGACUCAUAUUUUGAUAAUUAAUGCUCAAAAAUGUGAAAUUUUCUGUUCCAUUAUUUAGGUAUUUUAAGAAAAAUUUACUUUAAAUUUUUGCUUUAUGUGACUAUAAUAGCUAUAUUUCAUGUAUUAGCAUUUAUACAUACAAAGGCUGUAGAGUUUUACCAGACUUUAUUCGAGGGUCCAGAGUACUUAAAGAGAACAAUACAGGAAUAGAAAUAGCAUAAACUAUAUACUUCAAAUAAUUUCACAGGGCUGUGUAAGCAUUUUAAGGAAUUGAGGCUUUAUCCUAAGCCUAAGGGAAAGCCAUCCAUAUAACCAAAUUUCUGUUUGGAAAAAUGUGCUCUGGUUGUAGUACAGAGAAUUAGUUGUCAGAACAAAGGUGAGAUGGUGGUGAUAUAGAUGCCAAAGUAAGAAAAUAUGAAUGUGCUAUGCUAUUUCACUCUUCUGUCCUUCACCAACCUAUUUUCUCUGCUUCCUUUUCUCUUUGUUCAUAUUUUCAGUUCAAGUUUCACCCCUUCUAUGAAACAUUUCAUGAAGUAUCAGCCCAUUCUGUACAAUCAACCACUCCUGCCUCUGUGCCCAAACAGUAUAUGCUUUUAUCAUGGCCCAUGCCAUUGAAAUGCAUUUAGCUGUAUAUGUAUAUUCGUCCUUGUACAAAUCAAUAAAUAAAUUCUUAAUGAAAUUUAUUUUCUGUCUCCAGCAUCUAAACAAUGUUUUGCCUUGUGCUAAUCAAAAAAGUUCUGGUUGACAUUUGAAAUGGUUAUUUUGAUAAUCUCUUUCUGUACCUUCCCUAAAGAUUACUCUUAAGACAUUCUGAAAAUAUCCAUUUUGGCAAAGUUGUAUGAGUUAUUCAAGAUUACUGUAAUUUAAGUUGCUAACAAAAUGGAUCCUAUCUAUUUGUUCACCCUUUAUUUCCCUG
This 2822-nucleotide long non-coding RNA is filed under the name Homo sapiens (human). Its description in RNAcentral is "HSALNT0192228". Lineage: Eukaryota; Metazoa; Chordata; Mammalia; Primates; Hominidae. The record is from RNAcentral.